Molecule: ribosomal RNA, 253 nt
Filed under: uncultured bacterium
Lineage: Bacteria
Description: partial 16S ribosomal RNA
Rfam family: Bacterial small subunit ribosomal RNA
Source: RNAcentral
UACAGGGGGGGCAAGCGUUGUUCGGAAUUACUGGGCGUAAAGGGCUCGUAGGCGGCCAACUAAGUCCGACGUGAAAUCCCAAAGCUUAACUUUGGAACUGCGUCGGAUACUGGAUGGCUUGAAUUCGGGAGAGGGAUGCGGAAUUCCAGGUGUAGCGGUGAAAUGCGUAGAUAUCUGGAGGAAUACCGGUGGCGAAGGCGGCAUCCUGGACCGACAUUGACGCUGAGGAGCGAAAGCUAGGGGAGCAAACGGG